This 379-nucleotide ribosomal RNA is filed under the name uncultured bacterium. Its description in RNAcentral is "bacterial SSU rRNA". It matches the Rfam family "Bacterial small subunit ribosomal RNA", at positions 523 to 898 of the family's 1533-position model. The record is from RNAcentral.
AAACGUAGGGGGCUAGCGUUGUCCGGAAUUACUGGGCGUAAAGGGCACGCAGGCGGUCUGGAAAGCGGCGGGUGCAAUCUCGAGGCUCAACUUCGAAACUGCUCGCCGAACUAUCAGACUAGAGCAUGGGAGAGGACAGUGGAAUUCCCGGUGUAGCGGUGGAAUGCGUAAAUAUCGGGAGGAACACCAGUGGCGAAGGCUGCUGUCUGGAACAUUGCUGACGCUGAGGUGCGAAAGCCAGGGGAGCGAACGGGAUUAGAUACCCCGGUAGUCCUGGCUGUAAACGAUGCUCACUAGGUGUUACCGGCAUUAACCCCGGUAGUGCUGUUCUGCUAACGCGUUAAGUGAGCCGCCUGGGGAGUACGGCCGCAAGGCUGAA